Molecule: unclassified non-coding RNA, 300 nt
Filed under: uncultured fungus
Lineage: Eukaryota; Fungi
Description: sequence contains 5.8S rRNA gene, ITS2
Rfam family: 5.8S ribosomal RNA (bases 1-71)
Source: RNAcentral
GUGAAUCAUCGAAUCUUUGAACGCAUAUUGCGCUCUCUGGUAUUCCGGAGAGCAUGCUUGUUUGAGUAUCAUGAGAACUAUCACCACAAAUCCUUGCGGUUUGUGGUGGAAUUGAGUUGAACCCAACGCGUCUUUUACAGACAUGGAGGGCAGCUUGAAAUGCAGGUUCCAGCAGGUGUCAACUUGGCAAAAGCGUAACUAUUUUCGUUUUCCUUAUGGGAAAUGGAUUAUCUCGCCCAAGCCGUUAAAAGUUGGUACCAAAGCUUGACUAUGCAGGAUUAAAAAAAAAAAAACUCGAUC